UUGAGGACGAGUGAUUUAGGUUUGGUAUGAGCGCGUUUGAGAGAGGGUCUGGACGAGAGAGAAACGAGAGAGUGUUGAGAUGGAGAGUUUCACUUUCCAUCCUCGUGAGGAAGAUGACUGAGAUCCGUGCCACCCUUUUCUUUUCCUUUUCUUUUUUUUUCUUUUCUUUUUAAAACAUAAGUAUUCAAAACCCAAAUUAAAUGAUAUGUUUAGUUUUCUUUCAAUUUGCCAUUUACUUUGGUCUGCUGGCAUUAUUGCUAAUUAAACUUUGCAAUUCCCACCCAACAGCCAAGCGGCGAGGGUCACGUUUGAGAUUCCCCCAUUUAUUUUUAAUUAAUCAUCCAUUAUUAGACCAUCCCAUUUUUAUUUUUAUUUUAAUUCAUACUUUAAUCUAUU
Molecule: long non-coding RNA, 396 nt
Filed under: Lathyrus oleraceus (garden pea)
Lineage: Eukaryota; Viridiplantae; Streptophyta; Magnoliopsida; Fabales; Fabaceae
Description: Pisum sativum (pea) long non-coding RNA (PSAT_LNC017936)
Source: RNAcentral